CCCUUAGAUGUUCUGGGCUGCACGCGCGCUACACUGACGCACUCAACGAGUAUUCUUCCUUGGCAGAGAUGCCUGGGUAAUCUGUGAAUAUGCGUCGUGAUGGGGAUAGAUCAUUGCAAUUAUUGAUCUUCAACGAGGAAUUCCUAGUAAACGCACGUCAUCAGCGUGCAUUGAUUACGUCCCUGCCCUUUGUACACACCGCCCGUCGCUGCCCGGAACUGAGCCGUUUCGAGAAGACUGAGGAUUGCUGACUUGAGGCCUUCACGGGCUUCUAGUCGGUGAAAAUCAAUUUAAUCGCAGCGGCUUGAACCGGGCAAAAGUCGUAACA
This 328-nucleotide ribosomal RNA is filed under the name uncultured eukaryote. RNAcentral describes it as "partial 18S ribosomal RNA". It matches the Rfam family "Eukaryotic small subunit ribosomal RNA", at positions 1470 to 1796 of the family's 1831-position model. The record is from RNAcentral.